UACCUUUCGAACUGCAGCAACAAAUUGAUUCUAGCCAUCACAAAUCAACAACACAACAGAAUUAUUUCUAAAGGACCUACAGAAGAGGAUACUUAGUUUCCUGAUCAGCUCAGAUAAAUUAUUUGGAUUGUCUCCAAAUCAGGUGAGGCUUUAUUUACGAAAUGUAUGUUGAGCUAAUAAGCUCGCUCUUAUGAAAUGUUAAAGUGGAUGGUUCAUGCUUAAAAUAUUUCUGCUCUCUAUUGGUUAUUGCUUCUACCAGAACAUUGUUGGCUUCGCCAACCAGAACUUUGUUAGCUCUGCUAACCAGAAUUGUGUACGUACACCAGAACCUGUUGUCUCGAGAGAUUCGAUGACAACCAGUUGUAGAUAGCACGCCCAAUAGAUGAGCCAGGAAAAUAUGAGCUCAGAUUAUUUUAGUAUGCAUGGAAUGACUCACUUUAAAAACAUUCUGUGUUAUACUGUUUAAGGCAUGAAUUAUCUUUUUCAGUAAAUGAUUUUUAAAAUGUUUUUAAAUGGCUCAACCCACUGAGUACACUAGUACUCAGCCCUGCAAUUGUUUUCGAAACCUUUUGCAGAUUGAGCAGCUGGUGGUGACGUGCGAGGCUGAGGAAGGGUUGUUGCUAUGGAUUUUGAAAAAAAUGCUAUGUUUACUUCCGCUGAAAUAAAUUCACUUAGUGAAUAUUAUCUGAUGCCUAACUAUGUUAAUACUUUUAUUCAUAUUUUUAAUAUGAAUUUCACUCUCCAUCACUUUCUUAGCGAUUGUUUUCCGCAUCUAUCAUAUGCUUAGUAUGAGACGUUGUCUUGGUCUCAGACCUUCGAACUUUCGAUCCUGAUAGGGAGAAUAAUUAUGUUAUAAUGUCGUACUUGUUUUCAUUUAAAUACGGCAUAAUGCCCAACCCUCAGGGAACAUUACCUA
Molecule: long non-coding RNA, 916 nt
Organism: Salvia miltiorrhiza (redroot sage)
Lineage: Eukaryota; Viridiplantae; Streptophyta; Magnoliopsida; Lamiales; Lamiaceae
Exons: 2
Source: RefSeq, a predicted model, not a curated record